This 816-nucleotide ribosomal RNA is filed under the name Brevundimonas sp. M_Sw_oHS_10/11_2_2(2). RNAcentral's name for it is "bacterial SSU rRNA". It matches the Rfam family "Bacterial small subunit ribosomal RNA", at positions 22 to 886 of the family's 1533-position model. Lineage: Bacteria; Pseudomonadati; Pseudomonadota; Alphaproteobacteria; Caulobacterales; Caulobacteraceae. The record is from RNAcentral.
ACUCAGAGCGAACGCUGGCGGCAGUCCUAACACAUGCAAGUCGAACGAACUCUUCGGAGUUAGUGGCGGACGGGUGAGUAACACGUGGGAACGUGCCUUUAGGUUCGGAAUAACUCAGGGAAACUUGUGCUAAUACCGAAUGUGCCCUUCGGGGGAAAGAUUUAUCGCCUUUAGAGCGGCCCGCGUCUGAUUAGCUAGUUGGUGAGGUAAAGGCUCACCAAGGCGACGAUCAGUAGCUGGUCUGAGAGGAUGAUCAGCCACAUUGGGACUGAGACACGGCCCAAACUCCUACGGGAGGCAGCAGUGGGGAAUCUUGCGCAAUGGGCGAAAGCCUGACGCAGCCAUGCCGCGUGAAUGAUGAAGGUCUUAGGAUUGUAAAAUUCUUUCACCGGGGACGAUAAUGACGGUACCCGGAGAAGAAGCCCCGGCUAACUUCGUGCCAGCAGCCGCGGUAAUACGAAGGGGGCUAGCGUUGCUCGGAAUUACUGGGCGUAAAGGGAGCGUAGGCGGACAUUUAAGUCAGGGGUGAAAUCCCGGGGCUCAACCUCGGAAUUGCCUUUGAUACUGGGUGUCUUGAGUAUGAGAGAGGUGUGUGGAACUCCGAGUGUAGAGGUGAAAUUCGUAGAUAUUCGGAAGAACACCAGUGGCGAAGGCGACACACUGGCUCAUUACUGACGCUGAGGCUCGAAAGCGUGGGGAGCAAACAGGAUUAGAUACCCUGGUAGUCCACGCCGUAAACGAUGAUUGCUAGUUGUCGGGAUGCAUGCAUUUCGGUGACGCAGCUAACGCAUAAGCAAUCCGCCUGAGACUGACUGA